CCCUUAGAGUUUGAUCCUGGCUCAGAAUGAACGUUGGCGGCAUGGAUUAGGCAUGCAAGUCGUGCGAGAACCCUCCUUCGGGAGGGGGACAGCGGCAAACGGGGUAGUAAGGCGUCGGUGACGUGCCCUCGGGUCCGGGAUAGCCGCGGGAAACUGCGGGUAAUACCGGAUGACCUCUCCGGAGCAAAGGUGAGACUCCGCCCGAGGAGCGGCUGACGUGAUACCAGCUAGUUGGUAGGGUAACGGCCUACCAAGGCUUAGACGUCUAGGGGGUGUGAGAGCAUGGCCCCCACCACUGGGACUGAGACACCGCCCAGACACCUACGGGUGGCUGCAGUCGAGAAUCUUCGGCAAUGGGCGCAAGCCUGACCGAGCGAUGCCGCGUGCGGGAUGACGGCCCUUGGGUUGUAAACCGCUGUCAGAGGGGAUGAAAGCGGCGCGAAGAGCGUCGCUUGACAGAGCCUCAGAGGAAGCCCGGGCUAAGUACGUGCCAGCAGCCGCGGUAACACGUACUGGGCGAACGUUAUUCGGAAUCACUGGGCUUACAGGGUGCGUAGGCGGCUCAUCAGGUUC
Molecule: ribosomal RNA, 573 nt
Filed under: uncultured bacterium
Lineage: Bacteria
Description: bacterial SSU rRNA
Rfam family: Bacterial small subunit ribosomal RNA
Source: RNAcentral